This 94-nucleotide ribosomal RNA is filed under the name Vigna radiata. RNAcentral's name for it is "partial 5.8S ribosomal RNA". It matches the Rfam family "5.8S ribosomal RNA", at positions 63 to 154 of the family's 154-position model. From Rfam's summary of the family: 5.8S ribosomal RNA (5.8S rRNA) is a component of the large subunit of the eukaryotic ribosome. It is transcribed by RNA polymerase I as part of the 45S precursor that also contains 18S and 28S rRNA. Lineage: Eukaryota; Viridiplantae; Streptophyta; Magnoliopsida; Fabales; Fabaceae. The record is from RNAcentral.
CUGUGUGAAUUGCAGAAUCCCGUGAACCAUCGAGUCUUUGAACGCAAGUUGCGCCCAAAGCCAUUAGGCCGAGGGCACGCCUGCCUGGGUGUCA